This 62-nucleotide transfer RNA is filed under the name Dercetina varipennis. RNAcentral describes it as "tRNA-Pro". The record is from RNAcentral. Lineage: Eukaryota; Metazoa; Arthropoda; Insecta; Coleoptera; Chrysomelidae.
CAGAUAUUAGUUUAUUAAAAUAUUAAUUUUGGAGAUUAAAGAUAAUUUUUUAUUAUAUCUGA